Thunnus maccoyii (southern bluefin tuna) is the source of this 506-nucleotide long non-coding RNA. RefSeq lists it as uncharacterized. NCBI's taxonomy places the organism in Eukaryota, Metazoa, Chordata, Actinopteri, Scombriformes, Scombridae. The record is from RefSeq and is a predicted model, not a curated record. The transcript has 3 exons.
CUGUAAGCAAUUAUCAGAGCCCGGAGAGAGAGCUGAGAACAGAGAACAGUGUCGACCCACUGAGAGGCAGCCAGAGGAGCAGGAUGACAUUCACUAUGCCAGUGUCAAGUUCUCCAACAAUCAGGCAGAUCCUGUUUACUCCAACAUCAGACCAGCUCGUCUCCAAAGACGUGAAGAGGAAGAAGAGGGUGUUGAGUAUGCUGCUGUCAAAUUUAACAGUGCCCCAAGAACCAGAGGUCAGGAAACAGAGGAAGACCCAGCUGCAUUAUACAGCACAGUCAACAAAGCCCGAUGAACACAACAGGAAUCUCUAGUCUACCUUUUUUAAAUUUUAAAGCAGGUAAUCAUUUGAUUUUUAGCUAUGCUACUGGCAUAGUUCUGGAGAUGGCAAUGUCAGUCGGUUGGUUGGUUUGUUGGUCCUAUUGGAACAGCAACUUAUGGUCCCCACAGGAUGAAUCCUACUAACUUUGGUGAUCCCCUGACAUCAACUCUAGUGCCACCAGCAA